GAUAAACGCUGGCGGCGCACAUAAGACAUGCAAGUCGAACGGACUUAACUCAUUCUUUUAGAUUGAGAGCGGUUAGUGGCGGACUGGUGAGUAACACGUAAGCAACCUGCCUAUCAGAGGGGAAUAACAGUGAGAAAUCAUUGCUAAUACCGCAUAAGCUAGUAGUAUCGCAUGAUAUAGCUAGAAAAGGAGCAAUCCGCUGAUAGAUGGGCUUGCGUCUGAUUAGCUAGUUGGUGGGGUAACGGCCUACCAAGGCGACGAUCAGUAGCCGGACUGAGAGGUUGAACGGCCACAUUGGGACUGAGAUACGGCCCAGACUCCUACGGGAGGCAGCAGUCGGGAAUAUUGCGCAAUGGAGGAAACUCUGACGCAGUGACGCCGCGUAUAGGAAGAAGGUUUUCGGAUUGUAAACUAUUGUCGUGAGGGAAGAAAUUGACAGUACCUCAGGAGGAAGCUCCGGCUAACUAUGUGCCAGCAGCCGCGGUAAUACAUAGGGAGCAAGCGUUAUCCGGAUUUAUUGGGUGUAAAGGGUGCGUAGACGGGAAAUUAAGUUAGUUGUGAAAUCCCUCGGCUUAACUGAGGAACUGCAACUAAAACUGAUUUUCUUGAGUACUGGAGAGGAAAGUGGAAUUCCUAGUGUAGCGGUGAAAUGCGUAGAUAUUAGGAGGAACACCAGUGGCGAAGGCGACUUUCUGGACAGUAACUGACGUUGAGGCACGAAAGUGUGGGGAGCAAACAGGAUUAGAUACCCUGGUAGUCCACACUGUAAACGAUGGAUACUAGGUGUAGGAUGUAUUAAGCAUUCUGUGCCGCCGCUAACGCAUUAAGUAUCCCACCUGGGGAGUACGACCGCAAGGUUGAAACUCAAAGGAAUUGACGGGGGCCCGCACAAGCAGUGGAGUAUGUGGUUUAAUUCGAAGCAACGCGAAGAACCUUACCAGGGCUUGACAUAAACAGGAAUAAGCUAGAGAUAGCUUAGCUCUUCGGAGUCUGUUUACAGGUGGUGCAUGGUUGUCGUCAGCUCGUGUCGUGAGAUGUUGGGUUAAGUCCCGCAACGAGCGCAACCCCUGCUUUUAGUUGCCAGCACGUAAUGGUGGGAACUCUAGAAGGACUGCCGGUGAUAAAUCGGAGGAAGGUGGGGACGACGUCAAAUCAUCAUGCCCUUUAUGUCCUGGGCUACACACGUACUACAAUGGCCGCAACAGAGGGAAGCAAAAUAGUGAUAUGGAGCAAAACCCUAAAAACGGUCUCAGUUCGGAUUGAAGGCUGAAAUUCGCCUUCAUGAAGCUGGAAUUGCUAGUAAUGGCAGGUCAGCAUACUGCCGUGAAUACGUUCCCGGGCCUUGUACACACCGCCCGUCACACCAUGAGAGUUGGGAAUACCCGAAGCCUGUGAGCUAACUUUUAGAGGCAGCAGUCGAAGGUAGAAUCAAUGAUUGGGGUGAAGUCGUAACAAGGUAGCCGUAUCGGAAGGUGCGGCUGGAUCACCUCCUUUCUAAGGAGAAUUUAAAUCUUAAAUGAUAUUGUUUAUUUUUCAAUGUACUUUAAAUAGUACAUUAAAAAAUAGAGUGAAGCUCAUACAAAAGAUUAGAACUACGAAGACUCUAAUAAUAUGGGCUCAUAGCUCAGAUGGUUAGAGCGCACGCCUGAUAAGCGUGAGGUCGAUGGUUCGAUUCCAUUUGAGCCCACCAAACUGAUAUUUAAUAUCAGUAAAGUACAUUGAAAAAUAUAUAGAUAAAUAUGAUGAAAUUAAGGUAAACUAGCAUACGAAAGUAUGCACAAUUGAACCAAAACAAAGUUGUAAAGUUGCAAAACUAAACAAUGAUGGACAAUUAACCGAAAGGUUAAGCUACUAAGAGCGUAGGGUGAAUGCCUUGGCACCAAGAGCCGAUGAAGGACGUGAUAAGCUGCGAUAAGCUAUGGGUAGGAGCAAAUAUCCGAUAAUCCAUAGAUUUCCGAAUGAGGGAACUCAACUAGUGGAAGAAUACUAGUUAUCCAUGUGUAAGUAAAGUAGCACAUGUGAGGGGAACGUGGGGAACUGAAACAUCUCAGUACCCACAGGAAAAGAAAGAAAAAUCGAUUCCUUGAGUAGUGGCGAGCGAAAGAGGAAGAGCCUAAACCUAUCGUAGUAAUAUGAUAGGGGUUUGGACUACAUAAUUGAUUCAUGAAGAUUAGCAGAAUUACUUGGAAAAGUAGACCAUAGAUAGUGAAAGUCUAGUAUGUGAAAAUCUGAUUGACAUGGUAGUAUCCAGAGUAGUGCGAGACACGUGAAAUCUCGUAUGAACACGCGGGGACCAUCCCGUAAGGCUAAAUACUACUUGGUGACCGAUAGUGGAGC
RNAcentral lists this ribosomal RNA (2337 nucleotides) under uncultured Pseudoclostridium sp. RNAcentral describes it as "partial contains 16S ribosomal RNA, 16S-23S ribosomal RNA intergenic spacer, and 23S ribosomal RNA". The stretch from base 1 to 1494 matches the Rfam family "Bacterial small subunit ribosomal RNA". The record is from RNAcentral. Lineage: Bacteria; Bacillati; Bacillota; Clostridia; Eubacteriales; Oscillospiraceae.